This 398-nucleotide long non-coding RNA is filed under the name Monodelphis domestica (gray short-tailed opossum). Its description in RNAcentral is "lncRNA (ENSMODG00000037253.1)". Lineage: Eukaryota; Metazoa; Chordata; Mammalia; Didelphimorphia; Didelphidae. The record is from RNAcentral.
AGCCACAAUUUGAAUAUUGUGGAUGCAUAGAGCAGUGGAUAUUUGACUGGGGUAACCACAAGAAUUGAGAAGAAAGAUACAGCUGUGACAGAGACAUACACCAGGCCCCAUGACGACUUUGCUCCCAGUUUCUGCCUUAUCUCUGGCUCUUACAGGGCAGGUGACUUCCGGGCUGUUUUCAUAUGCAGACAUAUAGUGAAAGACUGGGUAAGCCUGAAACCUGAAGCUAAGCCCUGGAUCAGCUGGUUAUAGCAAUAAGAUGGAAAGCCUUCUUCAAUGGAAGGAGGGCACUUUGUGUGGUUUAUACUACAAACCAGAUGAGUAAUGACUGAAGAGGUUUAUUUUCACUCAGUCAUCACAUGGUGCUCCUCUUCUGUACUAAAUCAACCACAUCAACC